UUUAUCGGAGAGUUUGAUCCUGGCUCAGGACGAACGCUGGCGGCGUGCCUAAUACAUGCAAGUCGAGCGGACAGAUGGGAGCUUGCUCCCUGAUGUUAGCGGCGGACGGGUG
This 112-nucleotide ribosomal RNA is filed under the name Bacillus subtilis. RNAcentral's name for it is "partial 16S ribosomal RNA". It matches the Rfam family "Bacterial small subunit ribosomal RNA", at positions 1 to 108 of the family's 1533-position model. The record is from RNAcentral. Lineage: Bacteria; Bacillati; Bacillota; Bacilli; Caryophanales; Bacillaceae.